Molecule: long non-coding RNA, 1277 nt
Filed under: Citrus x clementina
Lineage: Eukaryota; Viridiplantae; Streptophyta; Magnoliopsida; Sapindales; Rutaceae
Description: Citrus clementina (C. clementina) long non-coding RNA (CCLE_LNC001591)
Source: RNAcentral
AUUAAUAAAUAUCACGUUAUUUAAAAUAAUUAUUUGAAAUAAGAAUUUUAAGAUAAUGCAGAAUUAUUCAACUCUAUUAGACGAAGCGACAAAAGGGCGGGGAGGACAGCUGGCAAAAGCAGAUAAAGCCACGCCACCCAAAAAGGAACACGGCCGAAAGCGUGUCUGAAAGUGGCAGUUCCGUAAUUAAAAUAAAAAACACGAAUCCAUUUUUGUAAUUUUGUCGGAACGAUUGGCUGUUGCUCUUGCAUGCAAUCAAAUAUCUGACUCAGACGCGAACGAAUCUCUAUCGCGCUGUCAUUGCGCUGUUUCACACACUUUUCACGAUGGGAUAAUUACGAAUAUUUCCCUAUUGUUUAUAUUUUACUAAACAAAGAUACAAGUUUUUCAUUUGUUUUAGAUUGAAACCCGACCUCUCUUGAAAGGAUUAAAAUACUUUUCUCUUUUUUCCCCUUUUUUAACUAACAAGUAGGUAAUAGAAAGCUUUAAUAAUUUAAAUACAAUUUGUUCAUCUCAGUAGGGUCAAAGGAUGGCGAUUUUUGAGAUUAGCUCGUAAAUCUCAUAUGAAGUUAAUAUAAAAUUAGUGAGUUUAGACUUGUUAGAGAAUAUGUCUUAUUUUUCAAUAAGAAUUUCUUAAGAUAUUUGAUUCUUUAGUAGGAUUCCUAUUUAAAGAAUAAGUAAUUUUUCCUUAAGAAUUUGACUUAUUUAAGGAGGAAUACUACUAGUAUAAGAAAAUGAAUACUUUUUUUUUUACAAGAAAUAAUCACUAAAUAUAAGGAGGUUGGGUUCAUUUAUUUGUAUAACACAGCAAUCAGUUUUUUGCAAGUAUAUAGUUUAUAGUGCGAGAGAAAUAAUAGAUUUAUUGAGAGAUUUGGUGUUAUUAGAGUUUUAGAUGUGAGGAAAAAUACUAGAGUGAUUUUAAUAAAUUUUUCUCUCGUCGCCCUUGGAGGCCGUGGUUUUUCUCCAGUAUAAGAGAUUUGCACAUAAAUUUUUGUGUUGUGUGAUUGGUUCUUUUUUCAUCUAAUUUUUUAUUUAUUAUUUUGUUUGAUAUUUUUACUUGUAAGAUCUUGGGCAGGAUUAAAAAUUACCUGACAAGACUAAUAUAAAAUGACUCAAUUAUAUUAUUAUCUUGUCAAACUUAAACUAAUAGAAAUUCUAUCUAGUAUUUAAAGAAAAAAAAAAGAAAAUUCUAUCUAUUUACUUAUCAUAUCAAGGAUUUUAAUUUUUAAUCUAACACGACUGUUAAUUCAAAAUUAUGUCACUCAUUUAAUAUUUUU